GUGAGAACAGCAUCGGCAAAGGCAGAGAAAAUAUUAAUGAUAAACAAAUAAGUGCUUUGCUACCACCCUGAACUGCCAAUCUGGUUAGGGGCCGAAGAAGUUUGUUUGUUUCCUGGAUGCAAAGAACCAGCUGAUUUCUCCAAGCCUGGUGCAACUGACAGUCAUCCCAGACGACACUGAUGCCCUCUGGAAGGUGCACACAUGGCACUGACAACUUUGCAAGGGAGGAAGCAGGAGCCCUAAGAAAGGACAUAACUUGCCCAGGAUCACCAGCAAGUGAGAGCCGAAGUGUGGCUCCUUCUGACACACGGCUCCUGAAUGGUGGCCUUGCCUUGGGGACAUUUUUGAACUGAGAUUUGAUCUGGCACCCGGGAGACCUGAGGACCCCCCCCCCAUGCAAACACCUCCAGAACAUGAAGCAUAUCAUAACUGCUCAAUCCAAAUGUGUUGAAGAGGUAAAUGAAUUAUUCCAUAGAACACCAUAGAUUCACGGCUUCCACCUACACUACGAAUAAAUUCCAAACUCCUUGCCAUAGCCUACAAGGCCAGGCUUGAUCUGCACUCUGUUCACACACAAACACACACACACACACACAUCCCACCUCUCCAAUGUCACCUGGAAU
Molecule: long non-coding RNA, 623 nt
Organism: Physeter macrocephalus (sperm whale)
Lineage: Eukaryota; Metazoa; Chordata; Mammalia; Artiodactyla; Physeteridae
Exons: 3
Source: RefSeq, a predicted model, not a curated record